This 516-nucleotide ribosomal RNA is filed under the name bacterium enrichment culture clone ALO1_GLFRUDD03GPWKY. Its description in RNAcentral is "bacterial SSU rRNA". It matches the Rfam family "Bacterial small subunit ribosomal RNA", at positions 9 to 517 of the family's 1533-position model. The record is from RNAcentral.
GAGUUUGAUCAUGGCUCAGAUUGAACGCUGGCGGCAGGCCUAACACAUGCAAGUCGAGCGGAUGACGGGAGCUUGCUCCUUGAUUCGGCGGCGGACGGGUGAGUAAUGCCUAGGAAUCUGGCCUGGUAGUGGGGGACAACGUUUCGAAAGGAACGCUAAUACCGCAUACGUCCUACGGGAGAAAGCAGGGGACCUUCGGGCCUUGCGCUAUCAGAUGAGCCUAGGUCGGAUUAGCUAGUUGGUGGGGUAGUGGCUCACCAAGGCGACGAUCCGGUAACUGGUCUGAGAGGAUGAUCAGUCACACUGGAACUGAGACACGGUCCAGACUCCUACGGGAGGCAGCAGUGGGGAAUAUUGGACAAUGGGCGAAAGCCUGAUCCAGCCAUGCCGCGUGUGUGAAGAAGGUCUUUCGGAUUGUAAAGCACUUUAAGUUGGGAGGAAGGGCAGUAAGUUAAUACCUUGCUGUUUUGACGUUACCGACAGAAUAAGCACCGGCUAACUCUGUGCCAGCAGCCG